CAAAGUUCCAUGGAAGUACACUAUCCAGAGAUGUGUAAUCCACAAAAAGAAUGAUAACUGCAAACAGGGAGCACUCCUGGAGCCAUAGUUAAACAGGUAGACCACUAGAUCGUAGACUGUUUUGAGGAAAAGUUGCAUGGCAUGUUCUAUCUGAGAAUUUCCUGAAGACCAGCCCAAAGAGGGUUAAGAAGUUCACAUAGCCUAGCUGACACCUGACCAGAGGAACCAAUGGGGGGACAAGAUGUUUUCAAAGAGGGAGAUGGGAAAUCAGUCUUUGUCUGUUCAGAAAAAGUUUGUGCUGGAGUGAAGGAUCCAGGAAUCAACCAUCUAACAUUUCUUAAAAGUAAUGCAUAUACCUAAUGGAUGUGAUUCUCCAUUGUCUUGCGUCUUAUCUACAUCUGUGCAAUGUGGGUGUCAAAGACGUCAAAAGGUGCAAUGCAGUGAUGUCUCAGGCCCAAUAUAUUUUAAAAGCCUGAGCACAGAAGCGCAAUGUAUAAAACAUGCUUUUUGAAAUAGCUCAUCUUCAGAAUAACACAUUUCUUUCUAAAUCAGAGGAAUCAAAAGUACAGAAUAAAAGUAGCAUCAGAUUUUCAGAAUUUGGGAAAAUCCUAGUAUUCUAAUCAGCAUUCCUUCUCUGACUGAAACAGAUU
This is a long non-coding RNA of Mauremys mutica (yellowpond turtle), 650 nucleotides long. RefSeq lists it as uncharacterized. The transcript has 4 exons. NCBI's taxonomy places the organism in Eukaryota, Metazoa, Chordata, Testudines, Geoemydidae. The record is from RefSeq and is a predicted model, not a curated record.